AUGGCAGCGCCCGCGCUGCCCACGCCGCGGCACCACCACGUGGGGCCGCGCGGGCCUUUCUGCGAGGUGUACGAGCCGGCUGAGGACACGUAUUUGCUGCUGGACGCGCUGGAGCUAGACGCGGCCCAGCUCCGAAACGCCCGAGUUGAGAUCUGCCUUGAAGUAGGCUCAGGCUCUGGUGUGGUUUCAACAUUUCUGGCUUCCAUUGUUGGACCCAAAGCAUUAUAUAUAUGUACAGACAUCAACCCUACAGCAGCUUUUUGUACCAUGGAGACAGCUCUACUUAACAAAGUUCACGUUCAGCCAAUUAUUACUGACCUGGUCACAGGACUGGUACCAAGAUUAAAUGGGCAAGUUGAUGUAUUGCUGUUUAAUCCACCUUAUGUGGUGACCCCUCCUGAAGAGGCAGAAAGCCAUGGAAUAGAGGCUGCCUGGGCUGGAGGCAAAAAUGGCAGAGAAGUAAUGGAUAGACUUUUUCCUUUAGUAGCAGAUCUGCUUUCAACAGGAGGAUUAUUCUAUUUAGUCACAAUUAAAGAAAACAAUCCAGAGGGUCUCAAACUGUGGUCCAUGGACCAGAACUGGUCUGUGAGCUCCAUUCAGGUGGUCCGCAGAAUGGUUGCGGAACAAUCAAGAAUAUUUAUGCUUGUAAGAUGAAAUUUUGGAAAUCAUGAAACAGUGUGGUUUAAGGGGUGCUAAAGUACUUUCCAGACGAGCAGGAAAAGAAAUGCUCACAAUUCUCAAAUUCAGCAAAUCUUGAUGGCUGCUCCUAACCUUCUGUAUGCUGGAGAUUGUUAAACCAUAUGUGGUUAAUUUUUCUCUAUGUCAAGCUAUUUUGUGUCUGAACCAAAACUCAACCUACCUCCUUAGAAAAAAAAAUCUUGUCAUCUCUUGAGCACUAUAGGCAAAUUAAUCAAGGUUGUCAUUGUUCCUGCACUGUGACGGUGUCAGCAUACUGUGACUAGCAGUCCAUAAGAAGGCAGUUGUUUCUGGGCUUUGGUCUUAUAUGUAGUGUGGUAGAAGAGCUGAAAGAUGCACUUUAAAGGUGCAGUGAGAUUUCAUAUAACAUUUAAUUGAAAUGAAGACAGGUGAAGAAGCGAUAGGACACAGCAUUUACCUCAAGGGAGGGAGCCACAAAUCAUUACCCCUCUCAUCUAUUUGUAUAUGCCUGAGAGACCAUUCCCUUGAAAUGGACUAUUCUACCUUAGAUUCUGAUCCAGGUGGAGACAUUUUCACAUUACUACAGGUGAACUCAUAGUUUUGCCCGAUCUUCCUCCUGAAUUUGCUCUUAUUUCUCUGCCACCUUUGCUACAAAAAAGCUUUUUGGCUGUUGCAGUUUUUCCAGGCUGUGCACAUGUGUGCAUAAGAGAAUUUUUUUUGUUCAGAGACUCCAUUGUAAUAUUGCUCCCCUCUUUGUUUUCCUUCCCAAGCCAAAUGUUUGUCAGUCUUAAUAUUCUGGGCAUUUGACUGCUUGGAAUCCUUGAGCAGCCCCUGAGGAUCUGCCACAAAGACUUUUUCUGAGGCUAGAUCAGAAGCCACAAAGGUCCUUUGUUUUUCCCUUGUAUUAAUGUUGUCCAAAUAGGACAGUGUGGCUCUUGCAAAACCAGACUGUAGACAGGAUAGCUUCAUCUGUGAGGUAAGGGUGUCAACAUGUCUAUCUGACAUUGAUCCCUGUUUCCUGGCACAGAACAGGCAAAGUAGAAUUCUUCUCAUGUGAAGUCUGUACAUGCUGCCUCAAACUGGGAGUUUCUCCUUUAGAUUUAUCUAGUUCAGCCUAUGGGGGACAAUCUGCCAUGUCUGAGAAGUAGAAGCAUCAUGGCAGGAUGGCUCUCUAGAACUGGUUGAAACCAACGUUCCUUUUAAUACCUGAUCUGGAGGUGGGGGAGGAGGAAGAAAGGAGAUUGCUCACUACCACUAGAAAGAAAAAAAAACUUGGCAAAAACACCCAUGAGGAGCAAAAUGAGCUACUGGUAAAUUGUGGUUAGAGACAGGAAAUUAGGUGGCCAGUUAGAGAAAAGGCAUGGCCAUCAGCUGCCACCACUCAACUGCCGUAGGAAUGCUUCUCAAACCUGUGGGAGAAGUUGGGCUGUGGAAAUUGAUAGUUAAUGCCCAUUUGCAGCAAAACUGAUGAGAGCAGUUUCACUACCAUCUGUUUUCUACCUAACAGAAAGCUGGCCACUACUUGAAGGCAGCAUGUAUAAACCAAAUAUGUUUGACCUGCUACAUCAUAAGUAAUUGCAAUGCCGUGCUUAGCAGCAGGUAUAACUUCUGUAUUUCCUUGCUUAGCAAACCAUAGAAAAAAUGCCAAGAUUCUCUUGCUACCAAAAUUCAUCAGGGACUGUUAAGUUCCUGCAGCUUAUCAGGACCAAGUUGUAGUCUAAAGGGUCUCUUUCAUGUGAGGGUUUUGUGUUUUUUUUCUUUGCAGAAUCUGGCUUUUCACUAACCAUGAAUACCCAUCAUAAAAUUAUAAUAUACACUGGUGUAGAACAGAACUUCAACUUGGUUAUCAGGGAGGGCUGGUUUAUCUUUGAAGCUAAAAAAAAAACCCAAACCAACCCUUAAAUCUGUACCGCUUUCAGCUAGCCAUUUCACAUCAAAAGGACAGGUGGCUGUUGGUCAGAUACUUAACAGCAACACAAUCUUAGUGCUCUAACAUAUUGUUACAGCAGUAAUUGACCAAGUUCAACAUGGAGCCAAGACUGUUCUCAUACCCUAAGCUAUUUUGAUGAAAUGGAAUUAGAAUUCCUAAACUUAAGUGCUAUUUUAUGUAAUAGGACUAGGAGUGGUAAUGCAACUAGUUAGCUUUAUCUUCAAGUUUUCUGAAUAUAAAAUAUGUAGUAAAACAUGAAAUUAUGCAUUACUCUAGCUACUUACAAGCUAGUAUAUGAUGUGAAACCCUGGCCUUGUUAAACUCAGUGGU
RNA transcript from Alligator sinensis (Chinese alligator), 2917 nucleotides. It is a transcript of the gene named N-6 adenine-specific DNA methyltransferase 1, with no coding region annotated. Lineage: Eukaryota; Metazoa; Chordata; Crocodylia; Alligatoridae. The transcript has 8 exons. The record is from RefSeq and is a predicted model, not a curated record.